RNAcentral lists this ribosomal RNA (253 nucleotides) under uncultured bacterium. Its description in RNAcentral is "partial 16S ribosomal RNA". It matches the Rfam family "Bacterial small subunit ribosomal RNA", at positions 524 to 776 of the family's 1533-position model. The record is from RNAcentral.
UACAGAGGUCUCAAGCGUUGUUCGGAUUCAUUGGGCGUAAAGGGUGCGUAGGUGGCGGGGUAAGUCGGGUGUGAAAUUUCAGAGCUUAACUCUGAAACUGCAUUCGAUACUGCCUUGCUUGAGGACUGGAGAGGAGACUGGAAUUUACGGUGUAGCAGUGAAAUGCGUAGAUAUCGUAAGGAAGACCAGUGGCGAAGGCGGGUCUCUGGACAGUUCCUGACACUGAGGCACGAAGGCCAGGGGAGCAAACGGG